CGCAGGCCUAUCAGGUUGUUUGGUGGGGUAACGGCCCACCAAGGCUUCGACGGGUAGCCGGCCUGAGAGGGUGACCGGCCACACUGGGACUGAGACACGGCCCAAACUCCUACGGAAGGCAACAGGGGGGAAUAUUGGACAAUGGGCGAAAGCCUGAUCCAGCAACGCCCCGUGAGGGAUGACGGCCUUCGGGUUGUAUACCUCUUUCAGCACGGUCGAAGCGCAAGUGACGGUACCUGCACCAUAAGCACCGUCCCACUACGUGCCACCACCCCCGGUAAUA
RNAcentral lists this ribosomal RNA (283 nucleotides) under uncultured Marmoricola sp. Its description in RNAcentral is "partial 16S ribosomal RNA". It matches the Rfam family "Bacterial small subunit ribosomal RNA", at positions 231 to 525 of the family's 1533-position model. The record is from RNAcentral. Lineage: Bacteria; Bacillati; Actinomycetota; Actinomycetes; Propionibacteriales; Nocardioidaceae.